Molecule: ribosomal RNA, 402 nt
Filed under: uncultured bacterium
Lineage: Bacteria
Description: bacterial SSU rRNA
Rfam family: Bacterial small subunit ribosomal RNA
Source: RNAcentral
UGGGGAAUCUUGCACAAUGGGGGAAACCCUGAUGCAGCGCAGCCGCGUGAACGAUGAAGCCCUUCGGGGUGUAAAGUUCUUUCGACAGGAACGAUAAUGACGGUACCUGGAGAAGAAGCUGCGGCUAACUCCGUGCCAGCAGCCGCGGUAAUACGUAGGCAGCGAGCGUUGUUCGGAGUUACUGGGCGUAAAGAGUGCGUAGGCGGCGAGUCAAGUUUGGUGUGAAAUCUCCCGGCUUAACCGGGAGGGUGCGCCGAAAACUGGUUGGCUGGAGUAUGGGAGAGGAAAGCGGAAUUCCUGGUGUAGCGGUGAAAUGCGUAGAUAUCAGGAGGAACACCUGCGGUGUAGACAGCUUUCUGGACCAAAACUGACGCUGAGGCACGAAAGCGUGGGUAGCAAACA